AAGUCGUAACAAGGUUUCCGUAGGUGAACCUGCGGAAGGAUCAUUAACACGUUAUCCAACGUAUCAAACCAAACGCGAACUGGCCUCCCUAAGAACAUAACUGUAACUGGCCGGAUGAGUCAAGUGGGUAGAUCUCGGUCUACGCUCAUCAGGGUACUAAAGGGUAAAACCUUAGAGUUACGAAUCUGAUCUUAGGCUUUCUGUUUCUUCACAGCUUGAUCACUUCAAGUUGGGUUGAAAUGACCAUACAAUUUCACUACUUACUAAUUACAUUUGUCUAAUACUAACUAUUUGGGAACUAAAGCAGAUUGAUGGAAAGCUUCGGCUGACCAAAUACGAGCUUGACUUUUCGAUAGUACUAAGUUUAUCUUAACUAAGCACAACUCUUAGCAAUGGAUAUCUUGGUUCUC
RNAcentral lists this unclassified non-coding RNA (410 nucleotides) under fungal sp. RNAcentral describes it as "partial internal transcribed spacer region". The stretch from base 1 to 46 matches the Rfam family "Eukaryotic small subunit ribosomal RNA", at positions 1786 to 1831 of the family's 1831-position model. Lineage: Eukaryota; Fungi. The record is from RNAcentral.